Molecule: long non-coding RNA, 230 nt
Filed under: Hordeum vulgare
Lineage: Eukaryota; Viridiplantae; Streptophyta; Magnoliopsida; Poales; Poaceae
Description: long non-coding RNA (HVUL_LNC011261)
Source: RNAcentral
UUUUAGUGAAGUGGCCGCCUUAUCAACCAUGACCAAAAAAUAAUUGACUUUAAAAUCCUUCUCAGCUUCAAACAUUGCUUCAUCAUUGUCAUCUUCAUCAAAUUGUUUCUUCCUAGAAACACGACGCUUUACUGGAAAUGAUGGCUCAACACCCAUUUCAGCUGCAAUUGUUUUGGCAAUUACCACACUAGAAACAAACCCUUCCUCUCUAUAAGUGUCAAAAUAAGUCC